This 27-nucleotide non-coding RNA is filed under the name Rattus norvegicus (Norway rat). The record is from RNAcentral. Lineage: Eukaryota; Metazoa; Chordata; Mammalia; Rodentia; Muridae.
UGAGCUUUGCAUUUAAAAACAAAUGUC